CACAUGAAUUAAUUCACAUGAUUAAAUAUUUUAGAGACUGUUUUAAUUACUAAUUUUUCACUAGAUUAUGUCUACUUAUACUAGAAGAAUAUUUAAUGCAGCUUCCCCCAUAAUAAGAGUAUUUGAAAAUAGAAUAUAAACUCUAAUACUUUUAUAUUUUUACAUCUCCAGUUUUGGUGCCAUUUUUGAAUUUCAGAAUUUAAGGAUUCAGUCACGACGAAACGUUCAGUUACUGAUCAUCUCUCUAACGUCAUCAGUGUAUUUUCUAAGAAAAUAAAUACUGGUGAAAUAGCCAUUAUUUUCCAUAUACUCACUAUAUUGAAGUAAGUUCACUUUUGAAUAGCGUAAUUUUGUGCUCUUCGAAUCGUUAAACCUUGGAAUAUCUAAAAAAAAUCUUCUAGAAGCGUUAAAUAGAGCGUACAGAAUAAUUCCGAUUCCUCGAAUCUUGUAGGUCAUUCUGAAACGUUUUCCAAGAUGGCCAGAAGAGGAAAGGUCAAUCAAUUUUAAGGUUUAUUCUUUUGAUGGCUAAAAGUGACAUUAUAUUAUUGUUGUUUUAUAAACUAAAUCUUUUUAUUAUAUCAAUGCGAGAAAAUAACAGAAAUUUUGUCUUCUUUUCUUUUUAUUCUUACACUUGCUCAAAGUCAGAUAAGAGAGAGAUUUAUUUUUAUACCAAUCUCGAAAAAAAUGUUUUUUUUUUGCUUUUUCACUUUUGCGUGCUUUAUCGCGAUAGCGCGCUAUCUGAAUUAAGGAAACCAGAGCAGUACAAAUCGAUUAAAAGUUGAAAUCGGACUUUAAAAACUUAUCAGGUAUCAAAAUUCGAACAAUAUUUGUAGCUGAUUGAAGUUUUAUUUGCGUGGGUCUCGCGUAGGAGUAUUUCAUUGAUCGGCUAAUACGUAAAAUUUUAUAGUAAGUGUAUACAAAGAAAUAAAAAAAUUAGGAUUAAAAAUUCUAUCAACUAGCACGACCUUCGAAAAGAUUAUGGUCAUUAAGAAAGUGCGGGACUGUUAUCACUUAACAUUACAACGAAUUAUCGAAAAGUGUGUCUUUUCCGUUUCUGUAACAUAAAAAAUGCAUAUAAGAGAAUAUUUCUCUGUUUUGGAAUAUUUCCAACAUUCUUCUGAAGUUAAAAAAAAAAAAAAAAAACAAACACCUUUAAAUCCCACAAAAAAGAAAGUAUUAAUUUUUUUAUUAAUAUAUGAUUUAAAAGUGCUU
RNAcentral lists this long non-coding RNA (1212 nucleotides) under Androctonus crassicauda. The record is from RNAcentral. Lineage: Eukaryota; Metazoa; Arthropoda; Arachnida; Scorpiones; Buthidae.